Molecule: transfer RNA, 75 nt
Filed under: bacterium
Lineage: Bacteria
Also listed under: 1 other name
Description: tRNA-Pro
Rfam family: tRNA
About the family: Transfer RNA (tRNA) molecules are approximately 80 nucleotides in length. Their secondary structure includes four short double-helical elements and three loops (D, anti-codon, and T loops).
Source: RNAcentral
CGGGGUGUAGCUCAGCCUGGUGAGAGCGCUGCGUUCGGGACGCAGAGGUCGCUGGUUCAAAUCCAGUCACCCCGA